Long non-coding RNA from Equus caballus (horse), 11145 nucleotides. The record is from Ensembl. NCBI's taxonomy places the organism in Eukaryota, Metazoa, Chordata, Mammalia, Perissodactyla, Equidae.
CUUAGUCCAUUCAGGCUGCUAUACAAAAUGCCAUAGACUGGGUGGCUUCUGAACAACAGAAAUUGAUUUCUCACGGUUCCGGGGGCUGGGAAAUCCAAGGUGAAGGCGCCGGCAGAUUCAGCAUCUGGUGAGAGCCCACUUCCUCGUUCAGAGACAGCUGUCCUCUCACUAUAACCUCCCGUGGCAGAAGGGGCAAGAGAGCUCCCUGGGGUCUCUUUUAUAAGGACACUAAUCCCCCCUCAUGACCUAAUCACCUCCCAAAUGCCCCACUUCCAGAUACCAUCACGUUAGGGGUUAGGUUUCCACAUAGGAAUUUUGGGGGACACAAACAUUCAGUCUAUAGGAGGAGGGGGGCUUGGAAGAGGAAAGAGAAUCAAAGGAGGGUUUCCCAAGAUGCACAGCGUAGACUAAGGGAAAAAGAGUAAAGGUUAAAGAUGUCAGAGAGCCCACGGUGUGCGUGUGUCCUGAAAGCCAAGAGCACCGAGGCCGUAAGAGCAGCGAAGGCCUGCAGAGCUCGUUCUUAAUCAGCUGGCAUUCUCGGUGACUUGGGGAAGUCCAGGGGUGGCUCCAUGCUCAGAGUGGUCAAGCAGACCCUUCUCGGGGGGUCGCCCAGCCUCUCAGGCUUGCAGGGUGGGCUCCCAGGGACCAGGGCUGAGGGACCUCAUCUUGCCUCACCACCUCUUCCCACAAAGCACAUUCUCUCUCCUGGUCACGUCAGGCUUGAGCACAGAGAGCGCAGGCCUGGAGCUGCAGCCCGUCGGCAGUCAGCCCAGCGAGGGUUUCGAUGAAAGCCCUGGUUCCUCUCCUUCCCCAGGUGUGGUGCUCAGCUUGUUCAGCUCUGUCUCUGAUUCUGUGGGGGAGCCCUGUAAUCCUUCUAAUAAAGUCCCUUUUUGGUGUAAGUUAGCCAGAGUCAGUUUUGGUUGGUUGCUAGCAAUCGAAAAAUAAAAAUAAAAUCCUUAACCACAUUAACCAAUUCUUAACCGAUUCCUCCACUCAUACCUGAAAUGCUGACAACAGACACUGCUCGGGGUAAGCCAUCCCUUCCCCUUUGCGCCUCGAGAUGGGGGUGACUGGUGAAUCCUGACCUCUGAGGGUCAAUUGAUUCUCCUCCAUGACAGGUGAGGAGAGGGGAAAACACAGACUAGGAGGAGACAGCAAUACAUGUGCGAAAGAUGUUGGGAGAUGUCAUACUAAUCAGGACUCUUUCUCUAAGAAAUGACGUAAAAAACUUGAGGAAUUUCCUGGCUUUACAGUUGAGCAGUCCAAUGGUAGAAUCGGCUUUAGUGGAUCAAACUUUGUCCAGGAGUGUCCUGGUUUCUCUCUGUCGCUUGGCUCAGCAAUGCCGUCUUCUGGGUCUUAGCUCUAUUCUCAGCUGCUCUUCUCAUGGUCACAAGAGAGCUGCAGCACCUCCAGACCUCACACACUCAUUCCUUUUAAACUCUCUCCUAAGUAAUCCUUUCCCAUAGUUUUAAACGUAUUAACUUCCAAACCUAUAUAUCCACUUCCAGCCUUGCCCCUGAUAUCCAGCCCUAUCUACCAACUGCCUGCUUGAUAUCUCCACUUCAAAGUCUAGGAGGUGUCUCAAACUUCAUUAAAGUGCAGUUGGGUUCUCCAAACGGGAGAGAGUGUGUUACUGAACCAGAGUGUGUUACUGGGCGUUUUUGCCGGCCGCCCAGAAAGCCAAACACCGAGACAAUGAGAUUGCAGCAGAGAGAGUUUACUCACAAGGCAGCCACGUGAGGAAGUGAGAGCAUGAGCCUCAAAUUUCGUUUCCCUGAAAGUAGGGACUUAGGGAUAUUUAUGGGGUAGGUGGGCAAGGUGGUCUGAAAUGGUGGAGAGAGGUGAUUGGAGGUGAGGAGGGGUGAGGUAAUUGAUGAUGUGCGCAGGCGUAGUCUGACUCCAUGCCUCUUCAUAGGACCCAUGUUCACAAAAUGGCAGCAUUAGCAUGAUCUGAGGGUGGAGUUUUUAGCCUCUUGACGUCAAAAGGUCGCCUAUUGGACAUCUGCACGGGCCCAGUUGAUGAGUUGGUGGUCUCAACAGGCCUGAAGUGGACAAGGGGCUCUAAUUCCUGAAAAACAGCUCACACACCCAUCACCAUGGGGACCCAGGCUCCAGGGAGAUGUUAUCUAAGGAACCUAGUGGGAGUCUGAUAGUGUAUUGCCUAAACAGCACAGUUAACAAUGCGUGAGUUAACAGCUAAAAGCUAUAAUCACUAAUUGCAAAAAGGAAAAACGUUAGUUCCUAGCUACUUAAUUAUCAAUGGCUAACUCCUUGCCCGUUUCAAGUGUAUGCCACCUUGAUCAAACCUACUUGGUCAUACAAUCCCUUUUUUCAAGGACCACCUAUGAACAUUUAGGAAUGUGUGUUUUGUGGAACACGGUUUGAGAAAACUCAGGUGAGAUUGUCUCCACGAUUCCUUCCAGUUCUCAAAGACUGGUUUGGGGAUUUAGCAGAACAAUAAAACAGACGUAGCAUUUAAAAUAAGGAUUUUUUAAAGUUUCAUGAUAGAGUUUGUUGAUAUAAUAACAUCCCCCAAAAGACUGCUGGGUCUGACCUCACUCUACACAGACAGAGGAGCAAGGAAAACCAAUCCCCCAGUCAUUCUCCAGCUUCAGCCCUCACUCACAACUCUAAGGAAGCAAAGAGACGCACCUCAAGCUUCCAAAGCCAUUAGCAUGUCCUUCAAAGAAAACUCCAUCGAACUCAAAGAUUCUUUUCCCGAAAUUGCUAGACUACAAUCAAGUUUUCACAGCAGAACACUUUGACCUUUAAUACAUCUUGACUGCAAACCAAAAGUACACCAUUUCUUCAGCGGACUUUAGUAGAUUUUUCACUUGCAAAGGGAGCCCUAGCUCUGUAUUAGUCAGAGUUCUCCAGAGAAACACAAGGAACAGGAUGUAUGUAAAGAGAGACAGAGUUCUAAUAAGAAAUUGACUCACACAGUGAUGAAGUCUUAAGAUCUGCAGUUGGCAAGCUGGAGACCCAGGAAAGUCAACAGUGAGGUUCUAGUCAGAGUCUGAAGGCCCGAGAACCAGAGAGCGAUUGGCCUAAGUUCCAGUCCAAGACCCGGCAGGCUUGUGACCCAAGAAGAGCCAGUGUUCCCUCUUGACCGAUGUCCCAGCUCAAGCAAUCAGGCAGGAGGAGCUCUCUCUUACUAGAGGGAGGGUCAGCCUUUUUGUUCUAUUCAGGUCUUCAACUUACUGGCUGAGGGCCACCACAUUGGGGAGGGCCAUCUCUACUCAGUCUGCCUGUUCAAAUGUUAAUCUCAUCCAAAAACACCCUUAUGGACACACCCAGAAUAGUGUUUGACCACAUAUCCGGACACCACAUGGCGCAGUCAAGUGGACAUGUGAAUUUAACCAUCGCAAGGCACUUGAGUACACAGCCAAUCCUUGCCUUCUCCUGACUUCCUUGAAUAACCUCUGUGCUGCAUUGUGCCACAUCCACUUCGUUACUCUGGAGCAGUGUCUCCCAGAAUCCCUACCCCUACAUGGUUCAAGGAUAGAGUUGGCCAACAAAGGGACGUGCGUGAGACUUGGAAAGCAGAAGGGAAGCAGCAGCCACUGUUCUCUGAAGGACAUGAUUGUCGCAUCAAGUGAUGGAUGGUCGCAAAGAUACCUAAUGGGCUCAGGUAUAUCCUCAUUCUCCUUUGCUCCAUGUCCAGCUCUUCUUCCCCACUGUUGGCCUUGCUGACCAAUAGCAGCCCCAGCCCCACCACUGAAUGCUUGGCUGCUGAUUCGCAGAGGUGGGGUCUACACAGGCAACCUGGACAGCUCCACAAGCUCCCCUUUAUGGCCCCACUUCAGCAACUGGAUGUUCCUGUCUUCUCGGAUCACUAGUCAGUGACUCUUGUGGUCCUCACCUCCCCAGCUCCUCCUGUAAUUGAGGAAGGUAUGAGUUCUAUAAUGUGUCCUUCAGGAUGUAACCCUCAGGAUGGCUCAGCUUCCCCGGCUGACCCUGAUCCAUGCCACCUCUUUAACCUUGUUGUUUUAAACCUACAGUUUAAAUGUUCGUGCAGAGUUAUAAACGAAUUAAGGCAAGGGGUUAGUACUAAGGUAAGAAGUGGCAGGCAAAUGCUAAAACUCCCUCAUUAGAGGAUAGCUGAAGUGUAGCACAGAGCAGGCCCAGUGGCCUAUAGAAAACCUACAAGUCCAGACCAAAACCCUCACCUUACCUUCUCUCAAAGUACAGAAAUAUCUUCAAGAAAUUCAAAUAUCAUUGCAGUACUGCCCCUACAGCUAGAUGCUUUCAAUAUCCUUUACUUUGGUGGGUGUACAUGUGUCAUUAUUAUGACACAUUAUUUUGGUGGUUAUUAUUUAGUGCUUUCUUUAAUGCUCCCAGCUUAUUUGAAUAAAUGUUCAUAAGCAUGCACUUUCCAUAUGCUCUCAUAUAUAUUAUAUAAAAGCUCAUUUCUCACGUGUUUUUGGAUAAUUUCUCUUUACCUCAGACACAAGCAAUCAGGUAUAGGUAGCAAAUUUCAACAAGGAAUGUAGCAUGUCCAUAUAUGCAUAUAGAGCCAUCUAAUAAUGAAUAUUAUACAACUGAUCUAUAUUAUGUUUUUGAAGACUUCAUAAUAUUAAAAGAUCAGUACAGGAUAGAAAAAAAGUAUAUAUAUAUAUAUAUAUAUAUAUAUAUAUAUUUAAAGAGGGAGAAAAAACAUGUUCUCCCUUAAGUAAGAGAUAUGUGUACAUAAAAUAUUGGAAGGAAAUUCUGUAAAUGCCUUCCAGCCAAAGACCACCAGAAACACACGUGUCGUUGAACACUGACUUGUUGCACAACCACGGGGAAACGUGAGAUGUCUCCAGGGCCCCCAGCAUGAGCGUGCGACCUGUAAGUGCUGGGCCAUGUACAACUGCACAGGUUACACACCGUGUACUUGGUUUAAUACUCUGCUGUUGCCAUCUUGAAAUUCUUAGUAAUUUCUUGACAAGGGCCCUACGUUUUCAUUUUGCACUAGGCCCCACAAGUUAUGUAGCCAGUCCCACGUGACUCUAUUAGAGAAGGUUAGAAGGUUCUUCUUGUAGGAUUUGGACUUGUGUUAGGUGAUUUGGGAGAAGGUUCAAGGAAACAAGGCUUAGCUCUGGACUGGAUAUUGGCGGGAUGUGGAGGUAAUUCUGUAAUCGGGGUAACUAUGUGUUAGUCAAGGUUCUGCAGAGAAGCAGAGCCAAUGGGAGAUAGAUUAGAUAGAUUAGAUAGAUAGAUAGAUAGAUAGACAGAUAGACAGAUGAUAGAUAGAUGGUUUUUGGUUUUGGGGGGUUUUGUUGAGGAAGAUUAGCCCUGAGCUAACAUCUGCUGCCAAUCCUCCUCCUUUUGCUGAGGAAGACUGGCCCUGAGCUAACAUCCAUGCCCAUCUUCCUCUACUUUAUAUGUGGGACGCCUGCCACAGCAUGGUGUGCCAAGUGGUUCCAAGUCCACACCCGGGAUCCGAACCAGUGAACCCCAGGCUGCCGAAGCGGAACGUGUGCACUUAACCACUAUGCCACCAGGCCGGCCCUAGAUAGAUGUUUUAAGGAAUUGGCCCAUGCAUUUGUGGGGACUGGCAAGUCCACAAUCAUUGGCCAGUGGAUGUUGAUGGAAAAUUCAGGAAAAAGUUGAUGUUGCACUCUUAAGUCCAAAAUCCACAGAGCAAGCCAGGCAGUCUGGAAACUCAAGUAGGUUUCUAUGUUGCAGUCUUGAGGCUAAAUUCCUUCUUCUCUGGUAAGCCUCAGUCUUUGUUCUUGAGGCCUUCAACUGACUGGAUGAGGCCCACCCACCUUAUGGAGGGUAAUCUGCUUUCUUCAAAGACAGCUGAUUUAAAUGUUAGUCACAUCUAGAAAAUACCUUCACAGCAACAUCUAGACUGUGGACUGAUGAUCUGGGAGCUGUUCCCAAUAAUACACUUCUCUCCUGAGCACAAGGCAAGAUUGUGCUUUGCAUGCCCCUCUUUGAAGUGAUGUGCAGAAGUGUAACUUGCUUUUGAUCAAGGAAAUGUGAGCAGCAGGGAUGUCUGUCACUUGAAGGCAGAAGCUUUCAGAGCCAGUGUUUAAUGCCCCACAUUCUCUCUGACAUGGUGAAUGGCAGUGCCCCAGAUGGUGACGGCUCUGUGGGCCUCAGUUGCAAUGGAAAGAUGUUGGGAGCACAGCCCCAGAUGACACAGAAGGGACACCAUUAUGAGCUUAAUGUUUGUGUCUCCCCCGCAUGUUGAAGCGCUCGCUCUCGAUGUGAUGGUGUUUGGAGAUGAGGCCUCUGGGAAGGGAUUAGGUUUCAAUUAGGUCCUAAGGGUGAGGCCCUCGUGAUGGGAUUAGUGCUCUUAUGAGAUAAGACAUCAGAGAGCUUGCUCUCUUGAGCACUGUCAUGCUGUGGGAGGACACAGUGAAAAGGCAAUAGGCUGCAAGCCAGGAAGAGUACCCUCACUGAACACCACCUCUGCCAGCACCUUGGUCUUGGGCUUCCCAUCCUCCAGAACAGGGAGAAAUAAAUGUCUCUUGUUUAAGCCCCCCAGACUAUGAUAUUUUGUUGUAUCAGCCCGAGAAGCCUGAGACAGACCCAUGGCAUGAAUAAGAUUUGGGUGAUGUUUGUUACUGCAACAUGAGCUCGUCUAUCCUGACUGACACAGAGUCCAAAGCCAUGGUAUUAACCACUGUGCCGUACUGCCUCUUCACUGCCACUCGGAACUUCUUCAUGAGACUAAUAUUACUGAGCGAGCCCAUUCUAGGGUACUGCAGUCCAGAAUGAAGGAAAGCUCAACAGAACACAAAACUAACAGGAGCACAAAGGGACAGCAAACACGAAGCCGGAAACGUCAGCCCUCUAGCGUACCCAUAAACUGCAGAUGGUUUCGUUUCUUCAACUUGAAGCCGAGCCUUGGGGACGUGGGCCUUGUGCUAAGGGGAGUUGGAGGAGAUGAAACAGCACAGAGCCAGGAUCUAAUGAAGCGCAGAGCCCAGAAGCCCUGCUGAGCGAGUCCUGCAACGUCAGAUUCCAAUGCAAAGAUCUUCUUCCUCCCUUCUCUCCCUCCUCUUAGAUCUCUGCACAGCCCUCAGAAGCCUCGUUUGCUUUCUGGCUAAUUUGAUUUGGGGCCAAGUCUCGAGGCCCUCUGCUGGGUUUCCGUGAAGAUUCCCUUUGAAGACGAGCUCCUUUGAACUCCUGCUUUCUCUCAGCACUAUCAGAAGUGCCACAUUCCGUCGGCUCUUUAGAAUUUUUCAAAGCGGAUUCACUCUGAUUUCCAGGGUGUCCUGACUGUUUGCGAUUGAAAGGCUCACUGUGUCAGGGGCGUCUGAGUUCUUGUUUUUCAAAUCACUGACUUCUCUCUGUGACACUUUUUGUCUCCACUUUAAACACCAACAACCACAAGACACAGAACGCGCUGACAGUGGUGUCAGCAUCAUUAGAUGAUUUGGGAGGCAGAGAAAAAUCCUCCCAUUCAAUAAGUCUUGAUGCCUACUACAUCCUAGGCACCGUGCCAGGCACCAAGGUACAACAGUGAGUUCAUUUUAGAUAUGGUUCCUCCCCUCGUGGAGUUUACAGUCUGGUAGGGAAAAAAAUAAAAAGAAAAGAAAAAAAUUUAAAGAAAUAAAUAAGUACAUCCAACUGUGAAAGUGCCUUUAAGGAAAAAACACGUUGCUAAGACAGAGACUUAAAAGAGAUGAGUGGGGGUGGAGGAGGGAGGGGGAAGAAACGCCACAGUUAGUGGGAGGUCCUCCGAGAUCAGUCACCAAGAUGGAAUUAGACUGUGACAGAUUUUUGGGGAGGAAAACACUCGUAAAGAAUGGAGGGAGGAAGCCAGAGAAGGAGGAAGAACUUUCAGACCACACUGCAGGCCUAACACCACUGAGGGAGAAGGGUAAAGAAGGAACAUUGAGUAGGAAGAAGAACAGUCUUGGACUACAGUGGAAGUGCCAGAAAACUUUGGCCAGACUCAUGGGGAGUUCUUUUUUUUUUUUUCUUUUCUGGUGAGGAAGACUGACCCUGAGCUAACAUCCGUUACCAAUAUUCCUCUUUUUUGCUGGAGGAAGAUUGACCCUGAGCUAACAUCUGUGCCAAUCUUCCUCUAUUUUGUAUGUGGGAUGCCACCACGGCAUGGCUUGAUGAGUGGUGUGUAGGUCUGUGCCCUGGAUCUGAACCUGCGAACCCCAGGCCGCUGAAGCACGGUGUGCAAACUUAAACACUGCACCACUGGACGGGCCCCUCAUGGGGAGUUGUUGAGCCAAAGUUUCCCCUCCGAGGAAUGCUGUAUCUCGCAGGAAUGGGCCUGAUGUGUUGAUACCCUUGCCGUGCUGGGCCAUGCUGGGAGCAGCUGCAGGAAGCUUGGUGUCCGUAUCAAAGCAGUGGUGAGUGGCAGCAGCUGGAGGGGUCAGUCAAGAGUACUCCCUGCGGCACAUCUCAGAGGUCACUGUCAUGGCUGUCACUUCUACUUCUCCAUGCAUGUUUGGGGAGCAGCCCUCCGUGAUUUCCAUGGCCUUUCUUCCUGGGGAGAAACUCGAGAGAGGGAAGUCAGUGGUUCAGACUAAGGCCUUUGUCGCUACAGUUGGUCUUGGGGCUGCAACAGGUACUCACACUUUCCUCCACUACUCAUUCUAAAUCUCCUCCCCCUUGACUGUCACCUUAGUGGGACUUGAUGGCUUGCUUGGUGACGUGGCCCAAACCUUCACUCCUGAGAAGUCUGAACUCUUGGCAAAUCAUACCUUCCUCAGGCUAGGGUUACUGCACAUGUCCAUUCACAGUUUCAGUGGGCAAGGGACUGCCAGGAGGCCCCCCAAGCACAUCACUUGGGUUUCACACACAUUCUUCCCCAUCCCCAUUGGGUAAAAGCAGCCCCACCCCUUCCUGCUGACCAGGGUCAGCUACCCCUAUAAGGGUGGUGAUUCCCUUUCUCUCCUGCUCGCCUGGGCACAGGUGUCCAAAGGGUCCUGGCACAGCUGGUACUUCAACGGGACCCUCGCUGUGUCAUCAGUCAAGAGUGUGCCCCCUAUGGGGACCAGGACCUACAACUUGAUAGAGCCUAGACUUGCAGAGACAGGAAGCAGAGAAUCCCCCAGAGGAUCGUUGCAAGUGACGGGGAGUGGAGGCCCUCCUGCUUCUGUCCCUUGCUUCCCAGACCCAUGUACUCUCCUGCUGGGGACAUGGCACCAUCGGGAGGUCUCUGAUUUAAUACAUGUGUCGCAUCCUGAAGGAUGACGGCCCUUGUUUCACAGUGUUGCAUAUGAGCUGGCGUUCCAGCUACACCCUUAGACGGCCAUUCCAAUAGUCUUUGUGACCAGCUGCUUCUGGAUGGUACAGAAUAUAAUCUGACCAUGGGUCCACUCCUGUGCCUCCUUCAUUGUGAAGCAGGUCCCUGCUCGAAUGCUCUGUUGUAUGGGAUUCUGUGCCCAUGGAUCGGGCAUUCCAUAAGCCUCCAGAUGGUGGUACUGACAGAAUCUCCCAGCUGGAAAGGCCAAGCCACAUCCAGACUAACCCAGGAUAGACAGGAAUCCCUGUGAGGAUACACCACUGGCAGCAGCUGGAGCCAUUCAGCCCCACUCCCUGCAGCGGGAGCUCUGAGCAGCGCGUGUUCAUGACUGUGCAACUCCUUUAAAUAGGGUGGAAGGAAGAAGAUGCUGCGGGACUUGUGCUCAGAGGAGUUGUGGGUUGAACUGCUUACCCUGAAAAGAUACAUGGACGUCCUAACCUCUUCUACCUAUGAGCGUGACCUUAUUUGGAAAUAGGGUCUUUGCAGAUGUUAUCAAUUAAAAUGAGGUCAUCCUGGAUUAGGGUGGGCACUAACCCAUUGGCUGGUGUCCUUCUAAGAAGAGGGAAAUUUGCACAUAGACAGACAGAAAGAAGAAUGCCACGUGAAGACAGAGGCGAGGUUGGAGUGAUGCAUCUGCAAGGCAAGGAAUGCCAAGGAUGGCUGGCAGCCUCCAGAAGCUAGAAGAAGCAAGGAAGGAUUCUCCUGAAGGUUGGCUCCUCCAGAAGGAGCCAACCCUGCCAACACCUUGAUUUCAGACAUCUAGAACUGUGAAAGGAUAAAUUUGUGUUGUUUUAAGCCACCAAGUUUGUGGCGCAUUGUGAUGGCAGCCCUGGGACAUGAACACAAAAGGUGAUAUUUAGCCUGAGACCCACCAGAUCGAGAGAAGGCAGCUGUGCAGGCCCCCUGGAAAUAGUGUGCCUGGCAAAGGAAGACCAAAGGUAAUGCCCCUCAGGCCAGGAGGGAUGCAAGCAGGCUGGAGGACCUGAAAGAGGACCUGUGUGACUGGAGCCUGUUGGAGCUGAGAAUGGAGACGUGAGCAGGCCACAGACCAGCAUUCUCUCUGCUCCCAGAACGUGUCUUUGGAGGCAUGAGUCUGCAUUCCUAACAAGCCUGCAGGUAAGUCGGAUAGCAUUAAAAUCGGAGGACCACUGCCCUCAGGUAUGUUGAGAACACAGUCCUUGAGCACCAAUGCAACAGAGACAGCACUCGCUCCAAGAGCUGCAAGAGUGAGGGAUCACAAACCUAAGAGGAUUAAACCGGCACCGUCUAUUCAUAGGAUUAGUCCCUCCUUUUCUUGCAGCCUCCACCUUUACCACGUCAUCACCCUAGACCUUGUGAUGGGUCUGAAUUGGCUGCUGCUUGAUAAUAUAGGGAAGGAAAGGAAUCUUUUCUACCUCUCCCCAUCUUACUUCUCUGGCCAGGGCCCUGUAAAUUAGGCAGACAAAAGACAGAUUGAAAGAGAAAAACAGAAGUUUAUGAGCACGUGCAUCCAGCGUGGACGUGGGAGCCCUCAGAGACGAGCAACUCAAAGGGGUGGUUAGACCAGGGGCUUACGUAGCAUCUUAACAAAAGAACAACAUGGUUUUAGAGAAGCGACAAGACAAAGGAAAGGACUUUGAGGCUCCAGGGGCAGUAAACUGUGUGGGAAGAUAAAUAAGUGGGGAACCAGGUAGAGAAGGGUGGUUUUCAGCAGGGUUUGCCAUGUAGAUUCCUCUGGUGCCCAUAAGGGUCUAGAAUUGUCUCCAGUCAUUAACUCUGUCCCUCCUGGUAGAGAGAGAAGGGGGGACCUCCUUACAAAUUUAGGUCCUGCUUUUAGGCACAUAGGGGAGCACGGAGAGCUUCUCCUGUAUCUACGGCUGCUCAGUUGCCUUCAGCUCAAAAUAAUCCUUAUGCCCAAGUGGCAUAUUUUGGGGUCACAUAUUCUGCUACCCUUCAAU